Molecule: non-coding RNA, 314 nt
Organism: Phoenix dactylifera (date palm)
Lineage: Eukaryota; Viridiplantae; Streptophyta; Magnoliopsida; Arecales; Arecaceae
Source: RefSeq, a predicted model, not a curated record
CCCUCCCUCGCUGAGAGCCGCCGCCCCCGCCCCCCCUUUUCCCUCGCUGAGAGCCUGAUAGCCGCCUCCUCUCGGUGUCGUCGCCUCUUCAACGACCGGCCGGCGGCUCUUCGCGUCCUUCUCCCCCGGACGGCAACCUCCGCGGCUCCGGUCACCGACUCACAGUCACCGGGAAAAUCAUGGCCACCAUGAACAUGAAUCUUAUUAUGGAGAACGGGACACAGAAAGUUUAGUUGUGGCAAUGGAAACUCUGGUUGCACCUGUUCCAAGAGAGUUCCAUAAACUAGCAUUGGAUGACAAAUCUGGUCAAACCA